GAGCCCGUGAGGAUGCCCGUAGUCUCUUACCCAGAAACAAGGAGCCGAUAUCAGGCACACACCCGCACUGCCCACGACAUCUUGCUUUGCCACGCCCCCAAGGGAACUCAGCAGUGAUAAACAUUAAGCGAUGAGCGAAAGCUCGACUUAAUUAGGGCUAACAGGGCCGGUAAAACUCGUGCCAGCCACCGCGGUUAUACGAGAGGCCCAAGUUGAUAGUAUUCGGCGUAAAGAGUGGUUAAACUAGACUUAAACUAAAGCCGAACUCCCUCAUGGCUGUUAUACGCACCCGAGGGUAAGAAGCCCCUCCACGAAAGUGGCUUUAAUAAUUUUGACCCCACGAAAGCUGAGAAACAAACUGGGAUUAGAUACCCCACUAUGCCCAGCUGUAAACAUUGAUAGCACAAAUACACAAGCUAUUCGCCCGGGUACUACGAGCACCAGCUUAGAACCCAAAGGACUUGGCGGUGCUUAAGACCCCCCUAGAGGAGCCUGUUCUGGAACCGAUACCCCCCGUUAAACCUCACCUUCCCUGGCUAAUCCCGUCUAUAUACCGCCGUCGUCAGCUUACCCCCUGAGGGGUCCACAGUAAGCAAGAUUAGUAAAACUCAAAACGUCAGGUCGAGGUGUAACGUAUGGGAAGGUUAGAAAUGGGCUACAUUCCUUGUUCCCAAGGAAAACGGAUAAUGACAUGAAAUAUUCAUUUGAAGGAGGAUUUAGCAGUAAGUGGAAAGCAGAGCGUUCCACUGAAGUUGGCCCUAAAGCGCGCACACACCGCCCGUCAUUCUCCCCAAGCUUAUUAAACCCUUAUAACUAAGAAACCGAGACUAGUAAAGGGGAGGCAAGUCGUAACAUGGUAAGUGUACCGGAAGGUGUACUUGGUAGAAAC
This 889-nucleotide non-coding RNA is filed under the name Enneapterygius etheostoma. RNAcentral describes it as "partial 12S ribosomal RNA". It matches the Rfam family "Bacterial small subunit ribosomal RNA", at positions 289 to 1521 of the family's 1533-position model. The record is from RNAcentral. Lineage: Eukaryota; Metazoa; Chordata; Actinopteri; Blenniiformes; Tripterygiidae.